GUCUCUGGAGGAAGGGAAGGUCACCACCGGAGAAGGGUUGGAGUGGGGUGUUUUGUUCGGGUUUGGGCCUGGUCUAACAAUAGAGACCGUCGUGCUACAUAGCAUCCCCACAGAGAUGGCAGCUCAAUGAAUUAAUUAGAUAUUCAGAAGCGAGGAAAAUAAAGAUUCAUACGAAGAGUCAAGCAUGAAAUAAAUGAGUGUAUAUAGAUAAAUAUGUAAUAUUAAGAAUAUGUGUGAAUAUUUGAAUUCAGAGUGUUGAUACGUGUAUCGUAAAGAGAGAUUAUUAGGUGCACCCGAUUUAUAUGCAUUCUCUCUCUAUGAACAUGGGUCUCACUUUUCUAUAAGUAAGGAAAACUGUUUUAUCGUAUCUAAAUGAGCACUAUUUUUUAGUGCUCCUGAUGUAUUCAAUAAUUAACCG
This 418-nucleotide unclassified non-coding RNA is filed under the name Hevea brasiliensis (rubber tree). The record is from RNAcentral. Lineage: Eukaryota; Viridiplantae; Streptophyta; Magnoliopsida; Malpighiales; Euphorbiaceae.